RNAcentral lists this ribosomal RNA (447 nucleotides) under uncultured bacterium. Its description in RNAcentral is "bacterial SSU rRNA". It matches the Rfam family "Bacterial small subunit ribosomal RNA", at positions 330 to 794 of the family's 1533-position model. The record is from RNAcentral.
UCCAGACUCCUACGGGAGGCAGCAGUGGGGAAUAUUGCACAAUGGGCGAAAGCCUGAUGCAGCAACGCCGCGUGGAGGAUGAAGGUUUUCGGAUUGUAAACUCCUUUUGUUAGAGAAGAAAAUGACGGUACCUGACUAAGAAGCCCCGGCUAACUACGUGCCAGCAGCCGCGGUAAUACGUAGGGGGCAAGCGUUAUCCGGAUUUACUGGGUGUAAAGGGAGCGUAGACGGCCAGACAAGUCUGAAGUGAAAAUCCAGCGCUUAACGUUGGAAGUGCUUUGGAAACUGCCGGGCUAGAGUGCAGGAGGGGCAGGCGGAAUUCCUAGUGUAGCGGUGAAAUGCGUAGAUAUUAGGAGGAACACCAGUGGCGAAGGCGGCCUGCUGGACUGCAACUGACGUUGAGGCUCGAAGGCGUGGGGAGCAAACAGGAUUAGAUACCCUUGUAGU